GGGGAAUAUUGCACAAUGGAGGAAACUCUGAUGCAGCAACGCCGCGUGAGUGAUGAAGGUCUUCGGAUUGUAAAACUCUGUCUUAUGGGACGAUAAUGACGGUACCAUAGGAGGAAGCCACGGCUAACUACGUGCCAGCAGCCGCGGUAAUACGUAGGUGGCAAGCGUUGUCAGGAUUUACUGGGCGUAAAGGAUGUGUAGGCGGAUAUUUAAGUGAGAUGUGAAAUCCCCGGGCUUAACUUGGGUGCUGCAUUUCAAACUGGAUGUCUAGAGUGCAGGAGAGGAAAGCAGAAUUCCUAGUGUAGCGGUGAAAUGCGUAGAGAUUAGGAAGAAUACCAGUGGCGAAGGCGGCUUUCUGGACUGUAACUGACGCUGGGGCGCGAAAGCGUGGGGAGCAAAC
RNAcentral lists this ribosomal RNA (400 nucleotides) under uncultured bacterium. RNAcentral's name for it is "bacterial SSU rRNA". It matches the Rfam family "Bacterial small subunit ribosomal RNA", at positions 356 to 773 of the family's 1533-position model. The record is from RNAcentral.